This 253-nucleotide ribosomal RNA is filed under the name uncultured bacterium. RNAcentral's name for it is "partial 16S ribosomal RNA". It matches the Rfam family "Bacterial small subunit ribosomal RNA", at positions 524 to 776 of the family's 1533-position model. The record is from RNAcentral.
UACGAAGGGGGCUAGCGUUGUUCGGAAUCACUGGGCGUAAAGCGCACGUAGGCGGAUCUUUAAGUCAGGGGUGAAAUCCCGGGGCUCAACCUCGGAACUGCCUUUGAUACUGGGGAUCUCGAGUCCGGGAGAGGUGAGUGGAACUCCGAGUGUAGAGGUGAAAUUCGUAGAUAUUCGGAAGAACACCAGUGGCGAAGGCGGCUCACUGGCCCGGUACUGACGCUGAGGUGCGAAAGCGUGGGGAGCAAACAGG